Molecule: ribosomal RNA, 433 nt
Filed under: uncultured bacterium
Lineage: Bacteria
Description: partial 16S ribosomal RNA
Rfam family: Bacterial small subunit ribosomal RNA
Source: RNAcentral
AACGAACGCUGGCGGCAUGCCUAACACAUGCAAGUCGAACGAGACCUUCGGGUCUAGUGGCGCACGGGUGCGUACCGCGUGGGAACCUGCCCUUAGGUUCGGAAUAACUCCCCGAAAGGGGUGCUAAUACCGGAUAAUGUCUUCGGCCCAAAGAUUUAUCGCCUUUGGAUGGGCCCGCGUUGGAUUAGCUAGUUGGUAGGGUAAAAGCCUACCAAGGCGACGAUCCAUAGCUGGUCUGAGAGGAUGAUCAGCCACACUGGGACUGAGACACGGCCCAGACUCCUACGGGAGGCAGCAGUGGGGAAUAUUGGACAAUGGGCGAAAGCCUGAUCCAGCAAUGCCGCGUGAGUGAUGAAGGCCUUAGGGUUGUAAAGCUCUUUUACCCGGGAUGAUAAUGACAGUACCGGGAGAAUAAGCUCCGGCUAACUCCGUG